AUACUUACCUGGCAGGGGAGAUACCAUGAUCACGAGGGUGGUUUUCCCAGGGCGAGGCUUAUCCAUUGCACUCAGGAUGUGCUGACCCCUGCGAUUUCCCCAAAUGCGGGAAACUCGACUGCUUAAAAAAAAUGUUUUGAAUAUCUUUUGA
Molecule: small nuclear RNA, 151 nt
Filed under: Peromyscus maniculatus bairdii (prairie deer mouse)
Lineage: Eukaryota; Metazoa; Chordata; Mammalia; Rodentia; Cricetidae
Description: U1 spliceosomal RNA (ENSPEMG00000001769.2)
Rfam family: U1 spliceosomal RNA
About the family: U1 is a small nuclear RNA (snRNA) component of the spliceosome (involved in pre-mRNA splicing). Its 5' end forms complementary base pairs with the 5' splice junction, thus defining the 5' donor site of an intron.
Source: Rfam by way of RNAcentral